This is a long non-coding RNA of Stegodyphus dumicola, 459 nucleotides long. NCBI's taxonomy places the organism in Eukaryota, Metazoa, Arthropoda, Arachnida, Araneae, Eresidae. The record is from RefSeq and is a predicted model, not a curated record.
UCUUUUGCAGAGAUCACCUCGCCAUCGUCUUGAUAUUCUUAAAACGUCCUGAGAUAAUCAUUUAUUCUCAUCGUCCGCAGUAUGAAGACAUUGAAGUUUUCAGCUUUAUGGGUGGUUAUGUUGGUAUGUGGCUGGGAGUUUCCCUGGUUGCUGUUUUCGAUUUUCUGGAAAGUGUGACUCUCGUCAUUUGCUACUGGAUCCAUAACCGAAUCUCAAUUAAAAAAGACCUAAAAAUUGAGUUAGGUUGACGAAUUGCAUCUCUACCUGUUUAAAUUGUUUCUUAAUGCUAAGAAAAGAGCAAGUUUUUGUAUUCUUUCUUGUUGCUCAACUCUUAUCCAAUGUACUGAGAAAACAAGCUUUCAGUAUGAAAUGAGCAAUGUACUUCGUAAUAUUGGAGAUUACUUUAUUAAAAUAGUGAUUUAAAACUGUCUUUAUUAAAAUCUUGACUUGCCUUUCGAA